Molecule: ribosomal RNA, 394 nt
Filed under: uncultured bacterium
Lineage: Bacteria
Description: partial 16S ribosomal RNA
Rfam family: Bacterial small subunit ribosomal RNA
Source: RNAcentral
CCUACGGGUGGCAGCAGUGAGGAAUAUUGGUCAAUGGCCGGAAGGCUGAACCAGCCAAGCCGCGUGAAGGACGAAGGUGCCAAGCAUUGUAAACUUCUUUUGUAAGGGGACAAAAUCAGGCUCGAGAGCCUGACCGAGGGUACUCGAAGAAAAAGCAUCGGCUAACUCCGUGCCAGCAGCCGCGGUAAUACGGAGGAUGCGAGCGUUAUCCGGAUUUAUUGGGUUUAAAGGGUGCGUAGGUGGGUUGUUAAGUCAGCGGUAAAAGGUCGGGGCUCAACCAGAGAGGUGCCGUUGAAACUGGACGUCUUGAGUGUGCGUGAGGUAGGCGGAAUGCGUGGUGUAGCGGUGAAAUGCUUAGAUAUGACGCAGAACUCCGAUUGCGAAGGCAGCUUAC